RNAcentral lists this ribosomal RNA (430 nucleotides) under uncultured bacterium. RNAcentral describes it as "bacterial SSU rRNA". It matches the Rfam family "Bacterial small subunit ribosomal RNA", at positions 355 to 776 of the family's 1533-position model. The record is from RNAcentral.
UGGGGAAUUGUUCGCAAUGGACGCAAGUCUGACGACGCAACGCCGCGUGGAGGACGAAGACCUUCGGGUCGUAAACUCCUGUCGAGUGGGACGAAAACCACUCGGGUUAAUAGCCCGGGAGGCUGACGGUACCACUAAAGGAAGCCCCGGCUAACUCCGUGCCAGCAGCCGCGGUAAUACGGGGGGGGCAAGCGUUGUUCGGAAUUACUGGGCGUAAAGAGCUCGUAGGCGGCUUGUUUAGUCGGACGUGAAAUCCCUUGGCUCAACUGAGGAACUGCGUCCGAUACUGGCAGGCUUGAAUCCGGGAGAGGGAUGCGGAAUUCCAGGUGUAGCGGUGAAAUGCGUAGAUAUCUGGAGGAACACCGGUGGCGAAGGCGGCAUCCUGGACCGGUAUUGACGCUGAGGAGCGAAAGCUAGGGUAGCAAACGGG